UACGUCGAAUAGACGCCGAACGGACAGUACCUUUCCUGUCUGCCUAAGGCUAAACAACAAAUACAGAGCAAGUAUAUAAAUUUACACAGCGAAAAUAUAAAUAUACUUGGCUUGCACGAGGGCAAUCAAUAGCCAAAGUGAAAGUACUAAACUAAACAUUAUACAAGUACAAUGAUCAACUUUUAAUCACAUACAUGCAUACAACUUAUACAUUUACAUUCUUUUCUUUAGCAUCAUUUCUUCUCUUUUACAUCACAUAUUUUUUCUUUUAAACAUCUAUAAUCAUCAAAAUACAAAAGAUGAUAUAAAAG
This 311-nucleotide long non-coding RNA is filed under the name Ananas comosus (pineapple). RNAcentral describes it as "long non-coding RNA (ACOM_LNC000557)". Lineage: Eukaryota; Viridiplantae; Streptophyta; Magnoliopsida; Poales; Bromeliaceae. The record is from RNAcentral.